RNAcentral lists this ribosomal RNA (371 nucleotides) under uncultured organism. Its description in RNAcentral is "bacterial SSU rRNA". It matches the Rfam family "Bacterial small subunit ribosomal RNA", at positions 527 to 896 of the family's 1533-position model. The record is from RNAcentral.
GUAGGUGGCAAGCGUUGUCCGGAAUUAUUGGGCGUAAAGGGCGCGUAGGCGGUACCUUAAGUCAGAUGUGAAAACCCGAGGCUUAACUUCGGAGGUGCAUUUGAAACUGGGGAACUAGAGUGCAGGAGAGGUAAGUGGAAUUCCUAGCGUAGCGGUGAAAUGCGUAGAUAUUAGGAGGAACACCAGUGGCGAAGGCGACUUACUGGACUGUAACUGACGCUGAGGCGCGAAAGCGUGGGGAGCAAACAGGAUUAGAUACCCUGGUAGUCCACGCUGUAAACGAUGGAUACUAGGUGUGGGAGGUAUCGACCCCUUCCGUGCCGCAGUAAACGCAAUAAGUAUCCCGCCUGGGGAGUACGGCCGCAAGGUUG